This 3902-nucleotide long non-coding RNA is filed under the name Anas zonorhyncha (Eastern spot-billed duck). RNAcentral's name for it is "lncRNA (ENSAZOG00000018979.1)". The record is from RNAcentral. Lineage: Eukaryota; Metazoa; Chordata; Aves; Anseriformes; Anatidae.
UUGUUCUGCCUCCUGAAUGCGCUUCAGGUUCUGCUUAAAGUUAAACAACUACUUAGGAGUCUCAUCCGGAGAUCUGCCCGGAGGCAGUAUAGUUGUGGGUGGCAGGGAGUAUGGGAGGAUAUGGGCAGGCAUCUAGAGCAGUUGGCACCCCCAGUGUUUUGGAAAUUCACCCCUGAACAACUGCACAAUCCUCAAAAACUGGCAGAAUGCUUGAAAAAAAGGUGUCAUGACUCUGGCAGUUCCAAAGUAACACAAAUCAUUGUAACGUGCUGGGGCCUGGCUCAUGCCUAUCGAGCUGCCAUUGAUACUGCUAUCAACUUAGUGACAGACCCUGCGGCCACUCCAAGUCCCGUGACAGAUCCAACAGCCACUGUGACCCCUACGGUGGACUCUGCAGCCGCUCCAGUCCCAGCUCCUGCAGCUGCUCCAGUCCCAGCUCCUGCAACUGCUCCAGCUCCAGUCCCAGCUCCUGCAGCCGCUCCAAUCCCAGCUCCUGCAGCUGCUCCAGUUCCAGUUCCUGAAGCUGCUCCAGUCCCAGCUCCUGCAGCCGCUCCAGUCCCAGCUCCUGCAGCCGCUCCAGUUCCAGCUCCUGCAGCCGCUCCAGCUCCAGCUCCUGCAGCCGCUCCAGUUCCAGCUCCUGCAGCUGCUCCAGUUCCAGCUCCUGCAGCCGCUCCAGUUCCAGCUCCUGCAGCCGCUCCAGUUCCAGCUCCUGCAGCCGCUCCAGUUCCAGCUCCUGCAGCCGCUCCAGCUCCAGUUCCUGCAGCCGCUCCAGUCCCAGCUCCUGCAGCAGAUCUAGUCCCAGCUCCUGCAGCCGCUCCAGUCCCAGCUCCUGCAGCCGCUCCAGUUCCAGUUCCUGCAGCCGUUCCAGCUCCUGUGGCUGGAUCAGAGAAACGAGCUGUAGCAGUGCAAGNNNNNNNNNNCCUCUAACACAGUAACUUUCUUCGGUUAUAUGCAGUAAAUAUUUACAUAUGCACAAGGUUUCCCAGUAUGCCUAUACAUAUUCAUAACCUGUCCCCGCUUAGUAUUAAAAUUAUCUCCAAUAAGUCAUUUCCAUAAACUCCUCCCCUCUGCGCUUGCACGGUGCCUUCUGGUGGUGGAGGCUGAGGGUCGUGAGGAUGAAGUAAGAUGUUUUGAUCAGUGUCGAACUUUUCACCUCGUCUCCUUGAGCAUGCUCUCUGAGCCCUUGGUCACAAUCUGGGCCAUAAGGUCAGUUUGGUCCAGUUCUCCGGGUCUGAGGGGCUCCUGUUAUCUCAAGGCCUUGCAUGCUUGACAUUCUUUAUCUUGUCCUUUUAAGAACAGUCCUCCUUAUCUCUGAGUCCUUGGUCACAGUCCGAACCAUAAGGUUGGUUUGAUCUGGUUCUCCGGGUCCCAAGGGCUCCUGUUAUCUGGAGGCCUAAGCGCAACACAGGCAAAUAUAGCACAUUUUAAGCAAUGAAUGUUGCCUACAUAUUCAUUCUUAAUCAAUCGCUCUCUAAUUUCUAAUCCCAUGUUUCAGUCCCACCUUUUCUGGAAAAUCUAGUAAAUUCUUUUACUUAAUACAAAAAUUCUUCUUCCGAGUCUCUAUGAUACGUACCCCUCAAUGCUUUGCCAUGCACUUUUGUCAAGGAAGCUAAUAUAGCCAUUUGUUGUAACAAUUUCCAAUUCCAAACAAGUAUUACAAAGGACAAUAUUAAACAUAUACCAACUAAUAUCAAUAAAACAAUAAUUGGGUGACUCAAUGUGUUCAAAAUCCCAGUUGCAGUUGGCGACCAUCCAAAGAGUGCGUCCCACCAGUUGUGACUUGUGUCUUGUUUUACUCUUUGCAAAACUCUGCUUAUUUCCUUUGUAUCAUGAUGGAUAGUGAUUAGAGUCUCCUUUCCAUUUUCCUGAAUGCUUUUUAAAAUUUUAAUCAGGUCUUGGUGUUUAACUAGUUGCUUCACUAACGUGAGGUUCAUCCCAAUAGGUGUAGGUAAUAACUUGUGAUACAUUGUGUUGUUAGACUUGAUCAACUGGUGGGAUACCACUGGUGCCAAAUAUAGAAAGUCACACCCGACGAUUCUAACAAAGUUACAAAUACAGAAGUUAGAAUGAUUUUUGCUACGGAGAGUUAUGUCCUCCUUAUCUACUUCUACAAAAUCACAAGCAGUUCUUAAACACACACAGCCUUGACCAACAUAUACAAGCACAGUCUUUUGACUAGUAUUUGGAUGAAUUUCAAAGUGGCAAACACCUUGCUCCGUGUCAAGACAUACAUCCUGAGCAUCAAUUGUGUUGCUUUCACAAAUAAAUCCUUGUUGUUCCCAGGUAACACGUGAUUCUAGAUUUACAGACUGCCAUUUCCCAUUCUCCAUCCGUGCCCAUGUCCUAUGCUCCGAAGGAUAGAGCACUGUCUCCUCAUGGUUUAAUCCUAGUGCAAUGAUGGGGUGGAUAACAUAAACUGUGGCAUUACUUAUAGUAAGCACAAAGGCAGUAGCCAUGUUAACAAUGGGAUCAUAGGUAAAAUUCCAUUAAUCAUUCGGCACCCUAUUUUAAUUUCGUCCCCUAUGGUUCUUUGGUGUGUCCACUCUUCCCCUAAUUUACGUCAUUCUGAUAGUGUAUAUAAAUGGUCACCAUUUGUUCGCCAGAUGACCAUAACUGCUAACUUUCCUUUAAUGCUCUUAUCCUCUGUUGUUACGGCUUCGGACCAAGGCCACUCACCAUUCUCUAUUAUCAUAGAGGCACCGUCUUGAAUCACAAUUACAACUAUAAGCCAUAGAAACAAAACAAUUCUAUCAACAAUAUUACUAAAUACUCCCGACCGUAAUGUCCUCAUUUUGUUCAACUAAGCUUUAGUUUCAGUUCAUCGUCACCUGGCAUUACUUUCCAGGGGGCUUCUGGAGCUUUCUUCACUCGAGAAUGGUGGAUCCAAGCGGCUUGUUCUCUAAUCUUGAUAGCAGUAUGAGUUGUCAGCAACACUUGAUACGGUCCAUUCCAUUUUUCCUCUAGGGGUUGUCCUGAAAAAGUUUCUAUAUAUAUAUUAUCCCUGGGCUUAAAGGGGUGGAUUGGUUGAUCCAACCCUCUAGCCCUGGUCCCUAAAACAAAUUUAUGUACUUUAUUCAAACAAAUCUCUACCUAAGAGUGCCCAUGAGGCGUUGGGCAUAUAUAAAAAUAUGUCUAUGCCCCAUUGUUUCCCUAACUUUUUAGGGAUAUUUUUUCUUACUUGAUCACUCUCCCUUUCUCCUUCACCACCCCUGUAUCCUCCUUGAUCACUCUCCCUUCCUCCUUGAUCACUCUCCCUUAGCUCUCCAAGAUAUUGAAUAUCCUUGGGAUACUCAGACCAGCAUGGUCUUGUUGUUCUGCCUCCUGAAUGCACUUCAGGUUCUGCUUAAAGUUAAACAACUACUUAGGAGUCUCAUCCGGAGAUCUGCCCGGAGGCAGUAUANNNNNNNNNNUUUCUUGUAAAUAUGUAACAGCAAUGUCCUAUAUAUAUUUGGAAAGUUCGACGGUUGCAUGUGUGUGUUGGUAGUGCAUAGACUCCCCGCGCACCCAGCGCUGUUUACUUGCCUUUUAUAAAUAUUCUUUUAUGUUACUAAAUUCAGAGUUGAGACUUCAUUUAUAACAAAUUGGUAACCCCGACGAGAUUUUCUUGGACUUUGGAUCUGCGACCGGUAAAGGGAGGCGCCCCACCUAGUGGCCCUUGCCGAUAGCGGUGCUAGAGUUCAACAAGAUUUCGAACAUAAGAGGCAAGUAAAAAAAAAAAAACAAAAACAAAGAAGGGUGAUUGAGGCGACGCCCUGCCGUCUGGGGUUGCUUGUUUUCCCCUCUGUUAAGGCACGGAAGUUGCUGGGGGGUUGCUGGUUAGAACUGUUAACAUUUAUUGUUUAAUGUUAUAUGAUAAUAAUAUUAUUAGUGUGAUUUCAAGGGUUAACGAAACGCAGGAAAAG